This is a long non-coding RNA of Lethenteron reissneri (Far Eastern brook lamprey), 369 nucleotides long. RefSeq lists it as uncharacterized. Lineage: Eukaryota; Metazoa; Chordata; Hyperoartia; Petromyzontiformes; Petromyzontidae. The record is from RefSeq and is a predicted model, not a curated record.
UGAAGCCUGCCAAUGCCCCCCUCUGCUCCACGUGGCAUGGCACUGCAGCAACUCCCCGCCCGUGUGGGCCCGUGCAGUUGCACCGCCUGCACACGCGGCAGGAGACGUGGCCGCUGGUGGUGUGCCGCGUGCUCGUAGUUUUAGUGGACUGUAUCGUCCUUGCCCGCACAGGAAAUCAAAGUGGAGCCUGGGACGCGUCACGCAGCCGCCCCUACCUGCUGCCGGUGUGCGGACACGCGUCUCGUGUGGAGCAUGCCUGCAGGACAAAGGCACGCGCACGCGCGGGCUGCGAGUUUGUGUGCCCGACCUGCAAGGUCCCCGGCCUCCUACCUGCAGCCCGACGAAGCGCUUGGAAAUUUCCUACCCACG